CCAGAUGAUCAGUAGAAUUGAACAUGUGCAUACAAAGAAUUUUAUACACAGAGCCAUUAAACCAGGUAACUUCCUAAUGGGUAUUGGGCGUCACUGUAGUAAGUUAUUCCGUAUUGAUUUUGGUUUGGCCAAAACGUACGGAGACAACAGGACAAGGCAACACAUACCAUACAGAGAAGAUAAAAACCUCACUGGCACUGCCCUGUAUGCUAGCCAUGCACAUCUUAGUAUUGAGCAGAGUCGCCGGGAUGACAUGGAAUCGUUAGAAUAUGUUUUGAUGUAUUUUAAUAGAACCAGCCAACCAGCCUGCCAUGGCAAGGGCUAAAGGCUGCAGCAGAGAAACAAAAAUAUGAAAAGAUUAGUGAAAAGAAGAUGUCUACUCCUGUUUUUUGUAAGGGGUUUGCUGCAGAAUUUGCCAUAUACUUAAACCCUUGUCGUGGGCUACACUUAGAGAAAGCCCCAGAUUACAUGUAUCUGACGCAGCUAUUCUGCAUUCUUUUCAGGACCCUGAUCCAUCAAUAUGACUACACAUUUGAUUGGACAAAGUUAAAGCAGAAAGCAGCACAGCAGGCAGCCUCUUCUAGUGGGAGGGGCAGCAGGCCCAAACCCCAACAGGUUUCUAAGCAUGAAUUGAGGAACAGAAGCAGCAGAGCAGAUGAUCAGAGCAGCAUUUGUUUCUCCCCAAAUCUAGAAAUUUUAGUUCAUGUGUACAUUAGCCAGUGGUCAUGGACAGCCAUUUACUUGGUGUAAAGAACUUAAUUUUAGUAUAAACUGACUCUGGGUAGCAUUGGUGAUGCUGUAUCCUGAGCUGUGGCUACUGUAAUUGUGAAUAUUAACUGAGACAGUGAAACAUGGUGGCCGGGUUUCUAGUGCAUUUUUUUUCAAGUGAAAAAGUUUACUAAAUGGUUGACACACACAAAUUGGUGGAGAAAUUAUGCAUAUGCCAAUUUUCUGUUAAAACCUUUUGUUUUGAA
Molecule: long non-coding RNA, 974 nt
Filed under: Homo sapiens (human)
Lineage: Eukaryota; Metazoa; Chordata; Mammalia; Primates; Hominidae
Description: long non-coding RNA NONHSAT171454.1
Source: RNAcentral